Molecule: ribosomal RNA, 451 nt
Filed under: uncultured bacterium
Lineage: Bacteria
Description: partial 16S ribosomal RNA
Rfam family: Bacterial small subunit ribosomal RNA
Source: RNAcentral
GAUGAACGCUGGCGGCGUGCCUAAUACAUGCAAGUCGAACGAGGUCUUCGGACCUAGUGGCGAACGGGUGAGUAACACGUUGGUACCUACCCCGAAGUGGGGAAUAACUGCCCGAAAGGGUGGCUAAUACCGCAUAAUACCGCAAGGUUAAAGCAGUAAUGCGCUUCGGGAGGGGCCUGCGUCCCAUUAGCUAGUUGGUAGGGUAAUGGCCUACCAAGACGACGAUGGGUAGCUGGAUCGAGAGGUUGACCAGCCACACUGGGACUGAGAUACGGCCCAGACUCCUACGGGAGGCAGCAGUAAGGAAUCUCCCACAAUGGACGAAAGUCUGAUGGAGCAGCGCCGCGUGCAGGAUGACGGCCUUCGGGUUGUAAACUGCUUUUAUACGGGAAGAUUAUGACGGUACCGUAUGAAUAAGGACCGGCUAACUACGUGCCAGCCGCCGCAGUAA